GCCCGGUUAGCUCAAUCGGUAGAGCGUGAGACUCUUAAUCUCAACGUUGCGGGUUCGACCCCCGCAUCGGGCU
RNAcentral lists this transfer RNA (73 nucleotides) under Fusarium proliferatum ET1. It matches the Rfam family "tRNA". From Rfam's summary of the family: Transfer RNA (tRNA) molecules are approximately 80 nucleotides in length. Their secondary structure includes four short double-helical elements and three loops (D, anti-codon, and T loops). Further hydrogen bonds mediate the characteristic L-shaped molecular structure. tRNAs have two regions of fundamental functional importance: the anti-codon, which is responsible for specific mRNA codon recognition, and the 3' end, to which the tRNAs corresponding amino acid is attached (by aminoacyl-tRNA synthetases). tRNAs cope with the degeneracy of the genetic code in two manners: having more than one tRNA (with a specific anti-codon) for a particular amino acid; and 'wobble' base-pairing, i.e. permitting non-standard base-pairing at the 3rd anti-codon position. Lineage: Eukaryota; Fungi; Ascomycota; Sordariomycetes; Hypocreales; Nectriaceae. The record is from RNAcentral.